UGUUAUAUGCAAUAGUAAUUUUAUGCAGGGUGUAAUAACAAAUAAAAAAAUAACAGUUGGCGCGCGCGAAGCGCGUGCAUGUUCUAGUCCUUUUCUAAAAAAGAUAUGUUAUUUAUUUAUCGAAUGUAUCGAAGUCAUCUCGAAAGUCUCGAAGAAUUGUUGCCUUUAAUCCACGAUGCUGAUUGGUUCUUUCGCUGAUCAUUGAACCGCAUGCUUCGUAGUGUUUGACAGUUGUGUUUGACAGUUGUGUUUUCAAAUCAAAAUUGGUUAUAUCAAAAGUGUGUAAGUAAUAAGAAAAAAAGAAGGAAAGGAAAUAGAUUGGUAGGAGAAAGAGAGAGUUUCGACUUUUGUAGAAAGAAGAAGCAGAAAAGGAAACAGAAGGUGAAACAGCGACUUCUAUAGAAAGAAGGAGCGGAAAAAGAGAGAGAGAGAAAGAGAGUGUAAGAAA
This 448-nucleotide long non-coding RNA is filed under the name Monomorium pharaonis (pharaoh ant). RNAcentral describes it as "uncharacterized LOC118647684". The record is from RNAcentral. Lineage: Eukaryota; Metazoa; Arthropoda; Insecta; Hymenoptera; Formicidae.